Molecule: non-coding RNA, 29 nt
Filed under: Mus musculus (house mouse)
Lineage: Eukaryota; Metazoa; Chordata; Mammalia; Rodentia; Muridae
Source: RNAcentral
GAAGUCCAAAAUCAAGGUACUGGCAGGGU